AUUGAACGCUGGCGGCAGGCCUAACACAUGCAAGUCGAGCGAGCGGCGGACGGGAGACUAAUGCCUGGGAAUUGCCCAGUCGAGGGGGAAAACCGUUGGAAACAACUGAUAAUACCGCAAACGCUCGGAUUGCCCAGGUGGGAUUAGCUAGUUGGUGGGGGAGUGGCUCCCCAAGGCGACGAUCCCUAGCUGGUCUGAGAGGAUGAUCAGCCACACUGGAACUGAGACACGGUCCAGACUCCUACGGGAGGCAGCAGUGGGGAAUAUUGCACAAUGGGGGAAACCCUGAUGCAGCCAUGCCGCGUGUGUGAAGAAGGCCUUCGGGUUGUAAAGCACUUUCAGCGAGGAGGCGUUACUCGCAGAAGAAGCACCGGCUAACUCCGUGCCAGCAGCCGCGGUAAUUC
This 404-nucleotide ribosomal RNA is filed under the name uncultured bacterium. RNAcentral describes it as "partial 16S ribosomal RNA". It matches the Rfam family "Bacterial small subunit ribosomal RNA", at positions 30 to 526 of the family's 1533-position model. The record is from RNAcentral.